RNAcentral lists this ribosomal RNA (492 nucleotides) under uncultured bacterium. RNAcentral's name for it is "partial 16S ribosomal RNA". It matches the Rfam family "Bacterial small subunit ribosomal RNA", at positions 29 to 507 of the family's 1533-position model. The record is from RNAcentral.
AGUGAACGCUGGCGGUAGGCCUAACACAUGCAAGUCGAACGGCAGCACAGUAAGAGCUUGCUCUUACGGGUGGCGAGUGGCGGACGGGUGAGGAAUACAUCGGAAUCUACUUUUUCGUGGGGGAUAACGUAGGGAAACUUACGCUAAUACCGCAUACGACCUACGGGUGAAAGCAGGGGAUCCUCGGACCUUGCGCGAUUGAAUGAGCCGAUGUCGGAUUAGCUAGUUGGCGGGGUAAAGGCCCACCAAGGCGACGAUCCGUAGCUGGUCUGAGAGGAUGAUCAGCCACACUGGAACUGAGACACGGUCCAGACUCCUACGGGGGGCAGCAGUGGGGAAUAUUGGACAAUGGGCGCAAGCCUGAUCCAGCCAUACCGCGUGGGUGAAGAAGGCCUUCGGGUUGUAAAGCCCUUUUGUUGGGAAAGAAAAGCAGCAGGUUAAUACCCCGCUGUUCUGACGGUACCCAAAGAAUAAGCACCGGCUAACUUCGUG